GCCCUCGUAGCUCAGGGGAUAGAGCAUUGGCCUCCGAAGCCAUGUGCGCAGGUUCGAAUCCUGCCGGGGGCACCA
Molecule: transfer RNA, 75 nt
Filed under: Acidobacteriota bacterium
Lineage: Bacteria; Pseudomonadati; Acidobacteriota
Also listed under: 2 other names
Description: tRNA-Arg
Rfam family: tRNA
About the family: Transfer RNA (tRNA) molecules are approximately 80 nucleotides in length. Their secondary structure includes four short double-helical elements and three loops (D, anti-codon, and T loops). Further hydrogen bonds mediate the characteristic L-shaped molecular structure. tRNAs have two regions of fundamental functional importance: the anti-codon, which is responsible for specific mRNA codon recognition, and the 3' end, to which the tRNAs corresponding amino acid is attached (by aminoacyl-tRNA synthetases). tRNAs cope with the degeneracy of the genetic code in two manners: having more than one tRNA (with a specific anti-codon) for a particular amino acid; and 'wobble' base-pairing, i.e. permitting non-standard base-pairing at the 3rd anti-codon position.
Source: RNAcentral